CUGAGAAAAUUUUCUUUGUGACGCAAGAACCCUGCUCCAGUACCAAAACCCUUGCAUACAAAUCGGAUCAUCAUCAUAAUCACCUGUUCAUCUGCAAUUGAUUAACCGUAACGCUCAAGCAAUUUCUGUGCUCUUGAUAUUGAGAUAUCAAUCAGAAGUCCAGCUCCGAAAUGGCGUUAACGAACUUUAUACUGACGGUGGUGGGAGUGGGCGCCGUGGUUUUACUGGUGAGGAGCGACAUCAAACAGUCUGCCUCCAUCUUCAAGCGUAACGUCCGUCAAAUUCGCCAUUGGCUCGAGGAAGAGUCCGCUUCCGCCGCUAAGGAAAUGGAGAAGGCAAAGCCAAAGGAGAUACCUAAGAAGGACAUUUCUAAGGAGGACAAGCAUUAGGUUUGACUCAAGUUGAAAUUCUUAUCAGAAACUGUACAAUUCCCUUUAAUGUUUCAAUUUUUUGGUCCGUAAAGUAUUUUCUAUAUCAUUUUCUAGCCCCUCAACUAGUGCCACUCUAUGGUUGUUAAGGUUAACACUAUAAUGAUUGGCGUUUGUAUCCUGGUACAAAUACUAUUUUUCUUCUGAUAUAUACUGAGAUGUACAGAUUAAGCAACAAUGUGAAGAUAUUUGAACUGGUCGGCAGUAACUGGUUGUUGGACGCGA
Molecule: long non-coding RNA, 653 nt
Organism: Nicotiana tabacum (common tobacco)
Lineage: Eukaryota; Viridiplantae; Streptophyta; Magnoliopsida; Solanales; Solanaceae
Source: RefSeq, a predicted model, not a curated record